ACGGAGGAUGCAAGUGUUAUCCGGAAUCACUGGGCGUAAAGCGUCUGUAGGUGGUUUAGUAAGUCAACUGUUAAAUCUUGAGGCUCAACCUCAAAAUCGCAGUCGAAACUAUUAGACUAGAGUAUAGUAGGGGUAAAGGGAAUUUCCAGUGGAGCGGUGAAAUGCGUAGAUAUUGGAAAGAACACCGAUGGCGAAGGCACUUUACUGGGCUAUUACUGACACUCAGAGACGAAAGCUAGGGUAGCAAAUGGGAUUAGAUACCCCAGUAGUCCUAGCUGUAAACCAUGGAUACUAGAUGUUGAACAGAUCGACCUGUGCAGUAUCAAAGCUAACGCGUUAAGUAUCCCGCCUGGGAAGUAUGCUCGCAAGGGUG
RNAcentral lists this ribosomal RNA (373 nucleotides) under uncultured bacterium. Its description in RNAcentral is "bacterial SSU rRNA". It matches the Rfam family "Bacterial small subunit ribosomal RNA", at positions 525 to 896 of the family's 1533-position model. The record is from RNAcentral.